UUGUCUUUUAAUUAAGGACUGGAAUGAAAGGUUUGACUAUGUAUUUCUGUCUUAUAAUAAUAUUUUGAAAUUUAUAUUUUAGUAAAAAAGCUAAAAUUAUCUAUAGGGACGAGAAGACCCUAUCAAGUUUUACAAUCCAAAAUUUAUUUUCAAAUUAAGUUUAAAAUUGUUUUGCUGGGGCAGCAGAUAAAAAUUUUUUAUUUUAAAAUUAUGAUAAAUAAAUCUUGAAAAAUCAAAAAAUUUUUAAUUAAAAAUAAAUUACUGUAGGGAUAACAGCAUAAUUUUUUUAGAGAGUUCUUAUCAUCAAAAAAGUUUGUGACCUCGAUGUUGGAUUAAAAUUCCUAAUUCGUGCAAUAAUGAAAUAA
Molecule: ribosomal RNA, 365 nt
Filed under: Paravaejovis confusus
Lineage: Eukaryota; Metazoa; Arthropoda; Arachnida; Scorpiones; Vaejovidae
Description: partial 16S ribosomal RNA
Source: RNAcentral